UGGGGAGGGUGGGAUUUAACCCACUUAAGCAAAUUUACAGCCUGCCGCCUAAUUCGGCCACCUAACC
RNAcentral lists this transfer RNA (67 nucleotides) under Brookesia perarmata. RNAcentral's name for it is "tRNA-Tyr". The record is from RNAcentral. Lineage: Eukaryota; Metazoa; Chordata; Lepidosauria; Squamata; Chamaeleonidae.